CCGUCUCCCAGUUUAGCCAUCGGGUUUCCAUCAGGGAAAGGGUCCUGGAUGUGAGAUGUCAUGGGAUAUUGAGGCAUUCAUAUUGAGAUAGCGUGGGAACAGGCACGGUAAAUUUAAAUAUACUGCCCUAGGAGGUAAUGUCAUCCCAACAGCUUUCUCUCAUUCUGUUGCUGCCGUUUGGCUGUGAGUUCUUCAAGAGAUACAUCGUGUUGGUCUGUGUUUUGUGAGAUGCUGAACAAAGCAGCAGCUAAGAUGAAAGACACAAGAAUCUGAUAAUUAAUCCCUUCAGUUCAAAAUAUUUGCAAAUACCUGCCUCACUGUGAGAUUUAGGAGAGCCUCAGGGAUGACCUAACUCAUACCAGGAGAAAGCAGCUUGGGGAUGACCUAACUCAGGCCAGCAAAAGCAGCUCCUCUCACCCACCUGCCGUGAUCCCGUAAUACCUUUACACUGGCGGGGUGUGAGGCACUGUGAAGUUACCGUUAAUGCCAAAGUUACCCCUGGCAUGAGGAAAUCUUCAGCUGUUGCCUUGAGCUCUCUGCAUGGCACGGACUGAGUGGGGAUGGGCUGCAAGUCACUGGACCCACUGCUUUCUCUGAGAGUCUGAUCCAAUGUUUAUUAACAUCAGUGUUUGUCCUUUUCUAGAUUUUCAGUGAGUUUCAGUGGGAUUUUUAGUGGCUUAUGUUGCUGUAUGCCAGACUGGGUUUUUAUUAUCUUUCUACAGUUUGGAUAAUGUGUGUUUGCAUGCAAUUCCAAGCAAAUUCAGCACAGUUUAGUAGUCUAGCAAGUAGUUAACUGGAAUCUUAGUGUUACUGGUGAUGUCAGUAAUUGGUUACUGAAGCUUUCAGAGACCCAUCUUGUGCGACUUCUUACUGGGAGACUGCUGGAAAUUUAGGAUCCUGCUUUAGGAGGAUUGUCUGUCUCUUGGGAGGAUUUUAGAGCUCCUUUUGCUCAUUUAAGACACUUUUACACUUUACCCAUGCUAGAGGAGUCAGGCUGUCUAGCUUACGGGGCAGUAUGCACGCUUUGGCUGAGCAUUAGCUCCCCAACGGGAGGAGAGCUGGGUGUAUGUCAGUGGUCCCUGUUCCCAGAGUCCUCACUUCCUGAGCACUGACUUUUUUUUUGAAAGAAACUCGAGCUGACAGCUGAAAGGAAACUCCAGAGUACACCCACAGGUACCGCAGUUUGGGUGAGUCGGGGGACCAGGGCGGCGGGGUGCACCCUGGGGCACACCUGCUCUGCAGCCCAGGCACAUCCAUAGGGCAUUACUCUACCUGGAGGAAAAGCUGACUGUGUGACCAAAACUUGGGGGUGCAGUUUAGGUGUAUGUUAGAUGUAAUGGGAUCCAAGUGAAAUGGUGUUGUGGAUCAAUCCCCUGUGGACAGAAUGGGAGCAAAAUUCUCCCCUCUGUUCUCCGUACAUCCUCUUAACUGAACUUAAUGCUCUUUAAGAAGAGCAUGAAUCAUGAGAAACGCAGCCUGUGUCCUGGAGUAGUUAUGCAGGAUGAAAACAUACUGUUAAUUUGUAACUAAGAAAUGCAGUGUUCUUGAGAAAGGUUGAAUUAAAAAUUUAAACUGAAGGUUUUUCUUGUUUGAGCUCAGAGCACAGCCCUACCCUGUCCAGUCUGUGUGCUGCAAGGGUCUACCACACCAUAACAGUUGCUUGAAAAAGUAUUCAUUUUAGCAAAGUUAUGGAAUACAAAGGUGUUUAAUAAGUAGCUUCAACCUUUUGUAAAUAAUGGAAAAACUUGUGUUAUCUCAUUCCAAAUUCUUUUAUUACAGUUAUAGGUCAACCCACACAACUUCAAAGCCAUGAAAUUACAUGGUGAGAGUCUCAAAGUGUAAUAUGGAAAAAACAAUAAAUAAAGCAAACAAUAUUAUAAGGUGAACAGGUUUAUCUUUCGACUC
Molecule: long non-coding RNA, 1905 nt
Organism: Aquila chrysaetos chrysaetos
Lineage: Eukaryota; Metazoa; Chordata; Aves; Accipitriformes; Accipitridae
Exons: 3
Source: RefSeq, a predicted model, not a curated record